Molecule: ribosomal RNA, 463 nt
Filed under: uncultured bacterium
Lineage: Bacteria
Description: partial 16S ribosomal RNA
Rfam family: Bacterial small subunit ribosomal RNA
Source: RNAcentral
GACGAACGCUGGCGGCGUGCUUAACACAUGCAAGUCGAACGGAAAGGCCUUUUCGGAGGUACUCGAGUGGCGAACGGGUGAGUAACACGUGGGUGAUCUGCCCUGCACUCUGGGAUAAGCCUGGGAAACUGGGUCUAAUACCGGAUAGGACCGCACUUUAGUGUGUGUGGUGGAAAGGUGUUUCGGUGUAGGAUGAGCCCGCGGCCUAUCAGCUUGUUGGUGGGGUAAUGGCCUACCAAGGCGGCGACGGGUAGCCGGACUGAGAGGUUGGUCGGCCACAUUGGGACUGAGAUACGGCCCAGACUCCUACGGGAGGCAGCAGUGGGGAAUAUUGCACAAUGGGCGCAAGCCUGAUGCAGCGACGCCGCGUGGGGGAUGACGGCCUUCGGGUUGUAAACUCCUUUCGCCAGGGACGAAGCGUUUUGUGACGGUACCUGGAGAAGAAGCACCGGCUAACUACGUG